RNAcentral lists this ribosomal RNA (1466 nucleotides) under metagenome. RNAcentral's name for it is "bacterial SSU rRNA". It matches the Rfam family "Bacterial small subunit ribosomal RNA". The record is from RNAcentral.
AGAGUUUGAUCCUGGCUCAGGACGAACGCUGGCGGCGCGCCUAACACAUGCAAGUCGAACGAGAGAUGAGGAGCUUGCUCUUCAAAUCGAGUGGCGAACGGGUGAGUAACGCGUGAGGAACCUGCCUCAAAGAGGGGGACAACAGUUGGAAACGACUGCUAAUACCGCAUAAGCCCACAGCUCGGCAUCGAGCAGAGGGAAAAGGAGUGAUCCGCUUUGAGAUGGCCUCGCGUCCGAUUAGCUAGUUGGUGAGGUGACGGCCCACCAAGGCGACGAUCGGUAGCCGGACUGAGAGGUUGAACGGCCACAUUGGGACUGAGACACGGCCCAGACUCCUACGGGAGGCAGCAGUGGGGAAUAUUGCACAAUGGGGGAAACCCUGAUGCAGCGACGCCGCGUGGAAGAAGAAGGUCUUCGGAUUGUAAACUCCUGUUGUUGAGGAAGAUAAUGACGGUACUCAACAAGGAAGUGACGGCUAACUACGUGCCAGCAGCCGCGGUAAAACGUAGGUCACAAGCGUUGUCCGGAAUUACUGGGUGUAAAGGGAGCGCAGGCGGGAGAACAAGUUGGAAGUGAAAUCCAUGGGCUCAACCCAUGAACUGCUUUCAAAACUGUUUUUCUUGAGUAGUGCAGAGGUAGGCGGAAUUCCCGGUGUAGCGCGAAUGCGUAGAUAUCGGGAGGAACACCAGUGGCGAAGGCGGCCUACUGGGCACCAACUGACGCUGAGGCUCGAAAGUGUGGGUAGCAAACGGGAUUAGAUACCCUGGUAGUCCACACCGUAAACGAUGAUUACUAGGUGUUGGAGGAUUGACCCCUUCAGUGCCGCAGUUAACACAAUAAGUAAUCCACCUGGGGAGUACGACCGCAAGGUUGAAACUCAAAGGAAUUGACGGGGGCCCGCACAAGCAGUGGAGUAUGUGGUUUAAUUCGACGCAACGCGAAGAACCUUACCAAGUCUUGACAUCCCUUGACGAUACUGGAAACAGUAUUUCUCUUCGGAGCAAGGAGACAGGUGGUGCAUGGUUGUCGUCAGCUCGUGUCGUGAGAUGUUGGGUUAAGUCCCGCAACGAGCGCAACCCUUAUGGUCAGUUACUACGCAAGAGGACUCUGGCCAGACUGCCGUUGACAAAACGGAGGAAGGUGGGGAUGACGUCAAAUCAUCAUGCCCUUUAUGACUUGGGCUACACACGUACUACAAUGGCGUUAAACAAAGAGAAGCAAGACCGCGAGGUGGAGCAAAACUCAGAAACAACGUCCCAGUUCGGACUGCAGGCUGCAACUCGCCUGCACGAAGUCGGAAUUGCUAGUAAUCGUGGAUCAGCAUGCCACGGUGAAUACGUUCCCGGGCCUUGUACACACCGCCCGUCACACCAUGAGAGCCGGGGGGACCCGAAGUCGGUAGUCUAACCGCAAGGAGGACGCCGCCGAAGGUAAAACUGGUGAUUGGGGUGAAGUCGAAACAAGGU